GCGGGUGUAGCUCAGUUGGUAGAGCACGACCUUGCCAAGGUCGUUGUCGUCGGUUCGAGACCGAUCACCCGCUCCA
This 76-nucleotide transfer RNA is filed under the name Candidatus Omnitrophota bacterium. Its description in RNAcentral is "tRNA-Gly". It matches the Rfam family "tRNA". From Rfam's summary of the family: Transfer RNA (tRNA) molecules are approximately 80 nucleotides in length. Their secondary structure includes four short double-helical elements and three loops (D, anti-codon, and T loops). Further hydrogen bonds mediate the characteristic L-shaped molecular structure. tRNAs have two regions of fundamental functional importance: the anti-codon, which is responsible for specific mRNA codon recognition, and the 3' end, to which the tRNAs corresponding amino acid is attached (by aminoacyl-tRNA synthetases). tRNAs cope with the degeneracy of the genetic code in two manners: having more than one tRNA (with a specific anti-codon) for a particular amino acid; and 'wobble' base-pairing, i.e. permitting non-standard base-pairing at the 3rd anti-codon position. Lineage: Bacteria; Pseudomonadati; Candidatus Omnitrophota. The record is from RNAcentral.